Molecule: ribosomal RNA, 274 nt
Filed under: uncultured bacterium
Lineage: Bacteria
Description: partial 16S ribosomal RNA
Rfam family: Bacterial small subunit ribosomal RNA
Source: RNAcentral
AUACGAAAGGUGCAAGCGUUGUUCGGAUUUACUGGGCGUAAAGAGAGUGUAGGUUGUUUAUUAAGUCGGAUGUGAAAUCCCGGGGCUCAACCUCGGAACUGCAUUCGAUACUGAUAGGCUAGAGUUUGUGAGGGGUAAGCGGAAUUCCGUGUGUAGCAGUGAAAUGCGUAGAUAUACGGAGGAACACCUGAGGCGAAGGCGGCUUACUGGACCAAUACUGACACUGAGACUCGAAAGCGUGGGUAGCAAACAGCAUUAGAAACCCCAGUAGUCC